RNAcentral lists this ribosomal RNA (280 nucleotides) under uncultured bacterium. RNAcentral describes it as "partial 16S ribosomal RNA". It matches the Rfam family "Bacterial small subunit ribosomal RNA", at positions 29 to 337 of the family's 1533-position model. The record is from RNAcentral.
AACGAACGCUGGCGGCAGGCUUAACACAUGCAAGUCGAGCGCCCCGCAAGGGGAGCGGCAGACGGGUGAGUAACGCGUGGAAUCUACCCAUCUCUACGGAACAACUCCGGGAAACUGGAGCUAAUACCGUAUACGUCCUAAGGGAGAAAAGAUUUUAUCGGAGAUGGAUGAGCCCGCGUUGGAUUAGCUAGUUGGUGGGGUAAUGGCCUACCAAGGCGACGAUCCAUAGCUGGUCUGAGAGGAUGAUCAGCCACACUGGGACUGAGACACGGCCCAGACU